UCCUGUGUUGCUGGCCUAACGUGAUGGAAAUUGAUCCCGGAUGAGUCCUAAUUUUUGUCUCUUACCACUUUGUGGUGUUAGGUCAACGUGGAAGUAUUGCUCGCUCUCCUUGAAUGCUUCGCACUUUCGCAUUGCAAUCAUGGCCCAUGGGUAGCUACCAUUAGUUCCCUCGGAUGCAGAACUUUUGAAGGGUGCACAACAUGUUGCCGUUGCUUACCCACAAAGUGUUCAUGUCUCGAUGCAUACGAUGGCUGUGCAAGCCUUGGUCCCCGUCUUUAACAAGUUAGGACGGGGCUCAUGCGGUGCUGGUGUCGCGGAGGAAUGCUACUCAGUUGAUCCUACCAGUAGUCAUAUGCUUGUCUCAA
RNAcentral lists this unclassified non-coding RNA (365 nucleotides) under Pouteria eugeniifolia. RNAcentral's name for it is "partial contains external transcribed spacer and 18S ribosomal RNA". Lineage: Eukaryota; Viridiplantae; Streptophyta; Magnoliopsida; Ericales; Sapotaceae. The record is from RNAcentral.